Molecule: ribosomal RNA, 253 nt
Filed under: uncultured bacterium
Lineage: Bacteria
Description: partial 16S ribosomal RNA
Rfam family: Bacterial small subunit ribosomal RNA
Source: RNAcentral
GACGUAGGGUGCAAGCGUUGUCCGGAUUUAUUGGGCGUAAAGAGCUCGUAGGCGGCUUGUUGCGUCGACCGUGAAAACCCGGGGCUCAACUUCGGGCUUGCGGUCGAUACGGGCGGGCUAGAGUUCGGUAGGGGAGACUGGAAUUCCUGGUGUAGCGGUGAAAUGCGCAGAUAUCAGGAGGAACACCGGUGGCGAAGGCGGGUCUCUGGGCCGAUACUGACGCUGAGGAGCGAAAGCGUGGGGAGCGAACAGG